AGGCGGCGACGCCGAGCGGAACCCGAAAAGGCGCCUCAGUUCGGAUCGGAGUCUGCAACCCGACUCCGUGAAGCUGGAUUCGCUAGUAAUCGCGCAUCAGCCAUGGCGCGGUGAAUACGUUCCCGGGCCUUGUACACACCGCCCGUCAAGCCAUGGAAGCCGGGGGUGCCUGAAGUGUGCAGCCGCAAGGAGCGCCCUAAGGUAAAACCGGUGACUGGGGCUAAGUCGUAACAAGGUAAC
This 240-nucleotide ribosomal RNA is filed under the name uncultured bacterium. Its description in RNAcentral is "partial 16S ribosomal RNA". It matches the Rfam family "Bacterial small subunit ribosomal RNA", at positions 1252 to 1500 of the family's 1533-position model. The record is from RNAcentral.